AGAGUUUGAUCCUGGCUCAGGAUGAACGCUGGCGGCGUGCUUAACACAUGCAAGUCGAGCGAAGCAGUUAAGAAGAUUCUUCGGAUGAAACUUGAUUGACUGAGCGGCGGACGGGUGAGUAACGCGUGGGUGACCUGCCCCAUACCGGGGGAUAACAGCUGGAAACGGCUGCUAAUACCGCAUAAGCGCACAGAGCUGCAUAGCUCAGUGUGAAAAACUCCGGUGGUAUGGGAUGGGCCCGCGUCUGAUUAGGCAGUUGGCGGGGUAACGGCCCACCAAACCGACGAUCAGUAGCCGGCCUGAGAGGGCGACCGGCCACAUUGGGACUGAGACACGGCCCAAACUCCUACGGGAGGCAGCAGUGGGGAAUAUUGCACAAUGGGGGAAACCCUGAUGCAGCGACGCCGCGUGAGCGAAGAAGUAUUUCGGUAUGUAAAGCUCUAUCAGCAGGGAAGAUAAUGACGGUACCUGACUAAGAAGCCCCGGCUAACUACGUGCCAGCAGCCGCGAUAAUACGUAGGGGGCAAGCGUUAUCCGGAUUUACUGGGUGUAAAGGGAGCGUAGACGGCAAGGCAAGUCUGAUGUGAAAACCCAGGGCUUAACCCUGGGGCUGCAUUGGAAACUGUCUGGCUCGAGUGCCGGAGAGGUAAGCGGAAUUCCUAGUGUAGCGGUGAAAUGCGUAGAUAUUAGGAAGAACACCAGUGGCGAAGGCGGCUUACUGGACGGUAACUGACGUUGAGGCUCGAAAGCGUGGGGAGCAAACAGGAUUAGAUACCCUGGUAGUCCACGCCGUAAACGAUG
Molecule: ribosomal RNA, 801 nt
Filed under: uncultured bacterium
Lineage: Bacteria
Description: bacterial SSU rRNA
Rfam family: Bacterial small subunit ribosomal RNA
Source: RNAcentral